Mustela putorius furo (domestic ferret) is the source of this 62-nucleotide microRNA precursor. NCBI's taxonomy places the organism in Eukaryota, Metazoa, Chordata, Mammalia, Carnivora, Mustelidae. The record is from Ensembl.
CCCGGGAGCGGGGGACCACCAGGUUGCCUAAGGAGGGGUGAACCGGCCCAGGUCGGAAACAG